CUCAUUCAGAGCUGGCUAAAGCAUCAACCCUGAUCAGCAGGCGAGGGUUUGUGAGUGCGCUUCUCGGGGACAGAAGUAGCAUCACUGCAUCAGGCAUCAGCACAGGGCAGGGUAACCUUAAACCAACUUAAAUCGGCAGAAGCAACAAUUAGUGCUGGGGAUGGGCGCCCGCUGGAGAUUGGCCUAGCGGGAAGUCGACGGUAAGAGUUGCUGCAAAAGAACCGACCACGAGAGUUCGACCGGCUGAGCGGAGAGAAAUCGAGGAGCUUUGAAGAAAAUGGAGAACCAGAGCGAGAACCUGACAGAGACUAAGGCCAAAGCAAACAGGAAGAUGAGGUAAUCCUAGUACAGCAAUGUAUUAUCCUGUGACCAAUGUCUUCUGCAAUGGUCAUACCUGCUUGCUUCUACCUGUAUUCUGAUGUUUGUCUCUGCUGAAGUGUCAAGUGAAGAAUUUCUGUAUUCUUAUAUCUUCACACGAUUGUAGAAAUUAGGGGAGAGAUUUGAACAGCAGGAUAGUUGCAGAGAUUAGCAGAGUAACAUACUUGCAGAUUCGUGUAAAUUGUAGAACGUCUAAUAUUGUUCGAUGGAGGACACAAGAUUUAACUUCAGAAGUUAGGACUCCGUUGGAGAAGAAUUAAAUUCAUAUGGGGGUUUUGUAAAACUUCAUUUCUAUUAGCCGUCCGACACUCUCCGUGGGAUGGAGGAGUAAUUUUGUUUCAUGUUGAAUUGGUUGUGUACAUAGGCUGUAGGUGUAGGGAAGCAGAUAUGUUGGAUACUUCAGUUAAAUGAAAAAUUGUUGCUGAAUUGUUUCAUGUUGAAUUGGUACCAUUGAAUGAAUGAAUACUACAUGCUGAAUUGUUUCAUGUUGUGUUGGAAAUGCACCUUAACUGUUUUCAUUUGUUUGGUGCGUGUUGGAGCAACCGAGCGGAUAGUCAUCGGUGUUCUCCAAACAAGGGGACGAGGGUGACAAGUCUGGACCGAGGCUGCUUCGCUAGCUGUGUGUGCUUCGACCCUAUCCGUGUUGUCUCUGGUGGAGUUUUCUGCCAUCUGGAUUACCCCGUGCCUGUGUCCUCCUUCCUGGAGCUGAAGAUCUUGGUCCUGGAUAUCGCCGUACCUAUGCUGCCCGGCCUUCAGGUUCUUGUUGCAAUUCAAUUCCUUGAAGGAAAGCCUUAUACCAUGAGGUGAUGGUGGUAUCCUAUCCUAUGCUGUUGCUCAUGUUGCUUCUACAAUCAAGGUUAUAUACAGAUGUACAGCUACUCUCCAUUCAUGGUCUGCGCUACAGAAGGUGGAGAACCGUGACCUGUUUACGGAGAUCUGUACACGGUUGGAGGACACGGCGAGGGAUACUUUUUCCCUACAUGAGUGGCAGCAUAAUCUACGGAUUCGCCUUCAUCUUAGGCGUUUUACAUUCACUCUGUCUGUUAUGUAAUUCGUCUUUUUAGCUUUCAAGACUUUUGAGAUAUGUUGAACGGCUGUGUACAUCUUAACUAUGCAGAGGUCGGGUGUAAUUGCUUCUUAUGAGUAGUAAAACGCCCAUUAUCUAUUAAAAAAAAAUGUCUCGUGUGCGACAGAGGACUUGCUAGUCUCAUGUCUCAUGCUUUAUGUCUCAUGUCUCAUGUCGCGAUUAAAAUUAUUGGUCCUGGGCACUGAUCUACUGCUAGUCCCAUGUCUUGCUACGUAUUGAGUACUGACAUUAUUACAGAGUUGUAUGAUCGAUAGGCCAAUAACCUUGCAUUACGCUUUGCACACUUUAUAACAAGAACAUGCACAUGAAUAUUGUUGCCUGUUUAUUUAAAACUGCAACAUGCACAUUAAUUCGCUCAUUGUCUUCUUUGUUUUGUAACUUUGAGUUAUUGCA
Non-coding RNA from Lolium perenne, 1858 nucleotides. Lineage: Eukaryota; Viridiplantae; Streptophyta; Magnoliopsida; Poales; Poaceae. The record is from RefSeq and is a predicted model, not a curated record.